UACGUAGGGGCCUAGCGUUGUCCGGAAUUAUUGGGCGUAAAGAGCUCGUAGGCGGUCUGUCACGUCUGCUGUGAAAACUCGGGGCUUAACCCCGGGCCUGCAGUGGGUACGGGCAGACUAGAGUGCGGUAGGGGAGACUGGAAUUCCUGGUGUAGCGGUGAAAUGCGCAGAUAUCAGGAGGAACACCGGUGGCGAAGGCGGGUCUCUGGGCCGUAACUGACGCUGAGGAGCGAAAGCGUGGGGAGCGAACAGG
This 253-nucleotide ribosomal RNA is filed under the name uncultured bacterium. RNAcentral's name for it is "partial 16S ribosomal RNA". It matches the Rfam family "Bacterial small subunit ribosomal RNA", at positions 524 to 776 of the family's 1533-position model. The record is from RNAcentral.